UCCCUGGUAGCUCAGAGGUUAAAGCAUCUGCCUGCAAUACAGGAGAGCUGGGUUUGAUCCCUAGGUUGGGAA
Molecule: non-coding RNA, 72 nt
Organism: Bos taurus (domestic cattle)
Lineage: Eukaryota; Metazoa; Chordata; Mammalia; Artiodactyla; Bovidae
Source: Rfam